GAUGAAGAACGUAGCGAAAUGCGAUAAGUAAUGUGAAUUGCAGAAUUCAGUGAAUCAUCGAAUCUUUGAACGCACAUUGCGCCCGCCAGUAUUCUGGCGGGCAUGCCUUUUCGAGCGUCAUUUCAACCCUCAGGCCCCCAGUGCCUGGUGUUGGGGAUCGGCCCAGCCUUCCUGUAAGGCCGCCGGCCCCGAAAUCUAGUGGCGGUCUCGCUGUAGUCCUCCUCUGCGUAGUAGCACAACCUCGCAGUUGGAACGCGGCGGUGGCCAUGCCGUUAAACACCCCACUUCUGAAAGUUGACCUCGGAUCAGGUAGGAAUACCCGCUGAACUUAAGCAUAUCAAUAAGCGGAGGA
This 352-nucleotide unclassified non-coding RNA is filed under the name soil metagenome. RNAcentral's name for it is "partial contains 5.8S ribosomal RNA, internal transcribed spacer 2, and large subunit ribosomal RNA". The stretch from base 1 to 120 matches the Rfam family "5.8S ribosomal RNA", at positions 35 to 154 of the family's 154-position model. The record is from RNAcentral.